This 866-nucleotide ribosomal RNA is filed under the name uncultured bacterium. Its description in RNAcentral is "bacterial SSU rRNA". It matches the Rfam family "Bacterial small subunit ribosomal RNA", at positions 8 to 847 of the family's 1533-position model. The record is from RNAcentral.
AGAGUUUGAUCCUGGCUCAGAAUGAACGCUGGCGGCGUGCCUAACACAUGCAAGUCGAACGAGAAAGCGGACUUCGGUCCGUUAGUAAAGUGGCAGACGGGUGAGUAACACGUGGGUAACCUGCCCGAAGGUGGGGGAUAACCCUCCGAAAGGAGGGCUAAUACCGCAUAAUAUCACGAGCUCCUCGGGGUUUGUGAUCAAAGCUAGCCUCUAUUUAUAUGCUAGUGCCAACGGAGGGGCCCGCGCCCCAUUAGUUUGAUGGUGAGGUAACGGCUCACCAUGACUACGAUGGGUAGCCGGCCUGAGAGGGUGAUCGGCCACACUGGAACUGAGACACGGUCCAGACUCCUACGGGAGGCAGCUGUGAGGAAUUUUGCGCAAUGGGCGAAAGCCUGACGCAGCGACGCCGCGUGGAGGAGGAAGGCCUUCGGGUCGUAAACUCCUGUCAAGGGGGACGAACGCGGGGCGGAUGAAUAAGCCGCUUCGUUGACGGUACCUCUGAAGGAAGCCCCGGCUAACUCCGUGCCAGCAGCCGCGGUAAUACGGAGGGGGCGAGCGUUGUUCGGAAUUAUUGGGCGUAAAGGGCGCGUAGGCGGCCUGGCAAGUCAGUUGUGAAAUCCCUCGGCUCAACCAAGGAACUGCGACUGAAACUGCCAGGCUUGAGUCCCGGAGAGGGUAGUGGAAUUCCCAGUGUAGCGGUGAAAUGCGUAGAUAUUGGGAGGAACACCGGUGGCGAAGGCGGCUUUCUGGACCGAUACUGACGCUGAGAUGCGAAAGCGUGGGAGCAAACAGGAUUAGAUACCCUGGUAGUCCACGCCGUAAACGAUGGGUACUAGGUGUUGCGGGUAUUGACCCCCUGCAGUGCC